AGUUAUUUUUAUUUUUUUUAUAAAGAAUGCAACAGCCCCAGAGUGACAAAUUUGCCUCAUAUAAGUAACACUCUAGGUUUGGGAAGUGGCUAUAUAGUGAAUCUUUGGCUGAAGACAACAACCUGAUAUAGACAUCAGUUGUUCAGCCUUAGUAAUAAGAUCCAUGGCUUCCAGCGUUGCUUUACAGCUUAUGUAUUCUCAUUUGUCCUGCCAGCUUCUUUUGACAUGAUGUGUGUGUACAUUAAAAGCUGAUGCUGAAAAUCUCCUGUGACACUUAGCAGAACAUGCAAUGCUAUCACCCUGAUACUGUACAGUGUACAUAACUUUGUGGCACCUGUUGAGUACCAUAAUACUGUUAUGGGCUUUCGCUAAACUAAGUGUCAAUGAAUGUAACACACUGCACACUGGGAAUUGUAGCACGAUUCCAGUGAGGCUCCCAAAUGUGUCUCAAUCAUUUAGAUCCUUUGCACAGUUGAUUCCCUGCUCAGUCAAUAAAUAAACCUCUCUGGACAAAGAGCUUAAAAGUGCCUUAGGAGUGCAAGAGCUCUAAAUUGGAAAUGAAUGCAGCAUUAAUCCAUGACAAAUUAUUUAUCAAAGCAUUCUGGGAGAAAAAAAUUUCAAAUCAUACCCAGAUGACAGCGAAUGAGGAAUUAAGGAUGAAGAACAGUGCUCUGUCAAAGCUACGUCAUGAAUGGCUAUUGAGACUUGAGAGUCAAAUAAAACAUAUCAAGAACUUCAAUGACAGACAUGCCAUAAUGUCAAUGGAGGUCAAGCAGACUGAUAAGGAAUGAUUUAAGACGAGCUUCCCCAGACACAUAACAUGGGAUUUUUUGCUAUGGAGAAGAUAAAAUAAUAUAAAAUAAAAAUAAAUAUAUUAAUACAUAAAAUGUUAAGUAUAUAUUAUUCAUUUAAUAAGUAUGUAUGUCAUAAUUCAUUAUUUGUUUAUUUAUGCAUUCUUUUUCACAUUGGUUAUUCAUUUUUCUUUUUCUGAUUUCCUUGUGCAAAUGAGGGGCUGUCAGUCAAACCUGUCACAUUGUCAUCUUCUGCUUAGCUGAUCAGUAUCUGAUUCCUAUCUGAUUCCAGCCAGAUAUAAAUUACAGAAUACAUAAAUGUGGGCUUUUGUACAUGAGACGAAUGAAAGGAAAAUUAAUAAUAAACUUAUAAGAUUUUUUUUUUUUUUUUCUCCAAUUCCCAUUUUGGUAGAUCUGGUCCUCCAUAUUUUAAAUGUAUCCAUAUUUUUUUUACCAACACUUUUUAUAAUAUUUUUUUAUCAACACUUUUUAUAAUAUUGUUAACACACAGACGCUGUUUGUCUGUAACAUUUAAUGUCAUUUUUACUCACUACACCACUGUUUAACUUGUAACAUAAAAAAAAUAACCUUAAAACAUGGUCUAUAAACCAAAUGGCACAUAAAAGGCCAAAAUGUCACAAAC
This is an RNA transcript of Pangasianodon hypophthalmus (striped catfish), 1434 nucleotides long. RefSeq lists it as uncharacterized. NCBI's taxonomy places the organism in Eukaryota, Metazoa, Chordata, Actinopteri, Siluriformes, Pangasiidae. The transcript is spliced from 3 exons. The record is from RefSeq and is a predicted model, not a curated record.